Molecule: ribosomal RNA, 700 nt
Filed under: uncultured Rhodocyclaceae bacterium
Lineage: Bacteria; Pseudomonadati; Pseudomonadota; Betaproteobacteria; Rhodocyclales; Rhodocyclaceae
Description: bacterial SSU rRNA
Rfam family: Bacterial small subunit ribosomal RNA
Source: RNAcentral
GUCGAGCGGCAGCGCGGGGGCAACCCUGGCGGCGAGCGGCGAACGGGUGAGUAACAUAUCGGAACGUACCCUGUCGUGGGGGAUAACACAGCGAAAGCUGUGCUAAUACCGCAUACGACCUGAGGGUGAAAGCGGGGGACCGUAAGGCCUCGCGCGACAGGAGCGGCCGAUAUCGGAUUAGCUAGUUGGUGAGGUAAAGGCUCACCAAGGCGACGAUCCGUAGCGGGUCUGAGAGGACGACCCGCCACACUGGAACUGAGACACGGUCCAGACUCCUACGGGAGGCAGCAGUGGGGAAUUUUGGACAAUGGGGGCAACCCUGAUCCAGCCAUUCCGCGUGAGUGAAGAAGGCCUUCGGGUUGUAAAGCUCUUUCGGCAGGAACGAAACGGUGGUCCCUAAUACGGGCUACUAAUGACGGUACCUGAAGAAGAAGCACCGGCUAACUACGUGCCAGCAGCCGCGGUAAUACGUAGGGUGCGAGCGUUAAUCGGAAUUACUGGGCGUAAAGCGUGCGCAGGCGGUUAUGUAAGACAGGUGUGAAAUCCCCGGGCUUAACCUGGGAACUGCGCUUGUGACUGCAUAACUCGAGUGUGGCAGAGGGGGGUGGAAUUCCACGUGUAGCAGUGAAAUGCGUAGAGAUGUGGAGGAACACCGAUGGCGAAGGCAGCCCCCUGGGUCAACACUGACGCUCAUGCACGA